UACGUAGGUGGCAAGCGUUGUCCGGAUUUACUGGGUGUAAAGGGCGUGUAGCCGGGAAGGCAAGUCAGAUGUGAAAUCCGGAGGCUCAACCUCCGAAUUGCAUUUGAAACUGUUUUUCUUGAGUACUGGAGAGGCAGACGGAAUUCCUAGUGUAGCGGUGAAAUGCAUAGAUAUCACGCAGAACUCCGAUUGCGAAGGCAGCAUACCGGCGCCCAACUGACGCUGAAGCACGAAAGCGUGGGUAUCGAACAGG
Molecule: ribosomal RNA, 253 nt
Filed under: uncultured Oscillospiraceae bacterium
Lineage: Bacteria; Bacillati; Bacillota; Clostridia; Eubacteriales; Oscillospiraceae
Description: partial 16S ribosomal RNA
Rfam family: Bacterial small subunit ribosomal RNA
Source: RNAcentral